UGAGGAGCUUGCGUUCAAGGGAGAAGGGAGACGAUGCUAGGGGGUGCGGCUCGUCUGUAAACACAGAUAAUCAGAGUGGAACAUAAUAGACUUAGUAGAGACGUAUUUGCUGAACUGAAUUGAUCCCACAGUCUGCCUUCUCCAUGCUGAGAGCUGGGGAUUCAGACAUAAACAUGGCUUGUUUUCUGCCCUUGCACAAUCUAGGGGUACACUGACCUGUACUCAGAACGAUGUGAUCAGUACCCAUCAGAGUGGGGAGGGCCUGGUUGACCUCUGUGCCUAGUAGGAAUGCAGUGAGGAGGGAAGGCUUCCCAGAGGAGAUGUUAUGCAUGUUGGGCCCUGAAGGAUGAGCAGGAGUUAACCUAGUGGACAAGGAUGGAGGAAGAUUUCAGGAACGGCCAGUAACACCGACUUAGGGUAACUCAAAGUCCAUGGAUUCUUUCAAUCCCUGGAGUCUGACUCUUUUGAGUGGUUUCUUCUAGAUCAAGAAAAUUUCCUGGAUUCAUAGAAUCUCAAGUUGGACAGAAACUUAAAAGCUCCCAUAGCUGAGUGUGCAUGUCUACCAAGCUGCCGGGGAGUCUCUGCAUACGUCCCUCUGAUACUGGGCGCUCACUACCCCGUGAGACCGUGAAUUCAUGUGGACGGCUCGGUGUGCUAGCAAGUCUUCUGUUGAGCAGGAAUCUAUUUCCUUGUUUAUUUCACUCACUGAUCCUGAUUUUCUCCCUCGGAUUGAUUUAGGACAAAUUUCAAUCUUUAUGGAAUCAUGAGGAGCUGACACGUAGCAGAAAUGGGAGCAGUGGGCUUCCUUUCCCUCUGCUGCUCAGACCAAUCUGCAGGCAGCUCUUGGGCACCAGUCUCCUCCCCAGGGCAGCCGCCUGGGCCAGACCACCGCCUGAGGCCCGCAGCCCGGAGGAAGGAGGGGCUGUGGCAGGGCAGACACCGGAGUGACGGAUACGGAUGUGCCCAGCCUGGCACACGGAACCGGCGGGCCUUCUGAAAGGCUGAAGCCUACUCUUGCCUAAAUGACACAGAAAAGGGCUUGACUCCUUCAUGACUGGUGUCGACGUGACGAAGGAAGAAUCCUUUCCAUCACACCAGCUGCCUCUGUCUCAGUGCCUUUCGGAUGCCACCUGCACUGACCCAACUCCCAUUUCCUGCGGGCGCUGCUCUCCCCUCUCCGUCUCUGGCCUCUCCCUUGCUGUCCGGGGAAACUUCUUGAGCUCCUGACUUGAUAAUUGGAAAUUUGAUGUGUUCAUGCCUUUAUUUAGUCCAGUAUUAUGACUUUUACUUUUAUAAUCAUGGUUUGAAUGUCCAAGAACUGUCGCUUUUCACCACGACUUAUUAUUCUGUGUAUGUGUGUGAUCAUCUUGACUCUUUCUGAGAAUAUUGUUAUUCUAACUGUGUCUUCCGUUUCCCCUGUGGGUGCUGUCCCCCGGGGGCUGAUCCGUCCCGCGGGCUUAGGGCCUGUCUUCCACAUCGUUUCCUCGGCGGUCCGGUGGCUUGGGCUGCCUGUUCACAUUUGCGCCGGAGGGUCUCCAUGUGUUUCUCACGGGCUCCUCAUGUCUUGGAUGGUGAUUUUUCUCUGUACUUGUUUCUCUGUCACCUCAGUCCCUUCUGCUUUCCAUCUGCCAGCAAUUCCUCAAAAUUUCUGGUCUGCUAGCAUCACUUAUCUUCCCUCCUUUCUUUUCUCCCUCUCUCCCUCCCUUCCUUCCAAUUUUCAGUUCUGGUUCACAUAGGCCUGCCCCCUCCUCCCCUCUUCCCCCCCAGCUCCCCCACCCCUCCU
Manis pentadactyla (Chinese pangolin) is the source of this 1783-nucleotide long non-coding RNA. RefSeq lists it as uncharacterized. NCBI's taxonomy places the organism in Eukaryota, Metazoa, Chordata, Mammalia, Pholidota, Manidae. The transcript has 3 exons. The record is from RefSeq and is a predicted model, not a curated record.